Molecule: ribosomal RNA, 253 nt
Filed under: uncultured Oscillospiraceae bacterium
Lineage: Bacteria; Bacillati; Bacillota; Clostridia; Eubacteriales; Oscillospiraceae
Description: partial 16S ribosomal RNA
Rfam family: Bacterial small subunit ribosomal RNA
Source: RNAcentral
UACGUAGGUGGCAAGCGUUGUCCGGAUUUACUGGGUGUAAAGGGCGUGCAGCCGGGAGUGCAAGUCAGAUGUGAAAUCCCGCGGCUCAACCGCGGAACUGCAUUUGAAACUGUGCUUCUUGAGUGCUGGAGAGGCAGACGGAAUUCCUAGUGUAGCGGUGAAAUGCGUAGAUAUCACGCAGAACUCCGACUGCGAAGGCAGCAUACCGGCGCCCAACUGACGCUGAGGCACGAAAGCGUGGGUAUCGAACAGG